GUUUGACCUCGGAUCAGGUAGGGAUACCCGCUGAACUUAAGCAUAUCAAUAAGCCGGAGGA
This 61-nucleotide ribosomal RNA is filed under the name Pyrenochaetopsis sp. RNAcentral describes it as "partial 28S ribosomal RNA". The record is from RNAcentral. Lineage: Eukaryota; Fungi; Ascomycota; Dothideomycetes; Pleosporales; Pyrenochaetopsidaceae.